GACAAGGGACCUUUAUCAGCUUGAACUUCAUCUCCGCCCCAGAAAAGCUGCACCCGGCCCAGCCCUGCCAGAGGAAACUUCCAGAAGGUCUUCAUUUGGGGACUUGGAGCUUCCAGUGGCUGCACUCUCAUCCCAGUUGGAACUUUAUCCCCAGGCCUGCUUAUCUCCAGCCUGAAGUGAUUUGGCUGCAGCUUCCCCUGUGGAUGUCAGUGCCUUCCUGCCUGCAGGAUUAAGGGAUCCAUUCCAAUCUCUCCAAUUGGCAGGAGGAUCCCUCAUUCCCAGGAAACUCCCGAGACAGGAGUUCUGAGGUGGGAAGUUGAGGAUUCCUAAGAUCAACGGAGCAGGCCUGGAAUCCCCCAGGGACUGAGGAAACACCAAGAGCCGGGAAUUGAAUAACUCCGGGAGCGGGCUGAAGGAGAAAACGGGAUCAGCAGCUUUCCAAGGUCCCCAGCUGCUCCAGAUGUGCUGGAACUGCAGCCGAGCUCAUCCCGAGAGCGCCGCUGGACGCAGCCCUGGACACGGGUGGUCCCGGCCCCGCAGAGCCUUUGAUGUGCACGCCCAGGAGCUGGGAUGUCCCUGUGCUCCGUGGCCUCCACGAGGUGCUGGAGUGGGAUCCGCGAGGGGGAUUCAGUGAUGGGGACAAACCUGGGAGGAAAAGCCCUCAGAGCUCCUCGGGGAGUGAUUCCCAAAGAAUCCUGGCAGGAAUGGUCUGGACUUGCUCCGAGGUGAGCCGGGAGUUCCUCCUGGGAGUAAGGAGAGAACAAACCCUGCCAAUCCUUUAAAAGCCGAUUUGCACACGCCUUGAACCGGGAAAGCAACAUCUGCUCGGCUCAAUCCAGGUGUUUUAUGUCCCUGUCAUUAAUUGGAGGGGACAUUAUGUCAUCAUACAUCAACGGGGAAAGUUGGUUAAAGUGCCACUUACCUCCGGGGCUGCCGUUAAUCAGCUCCCUUUCAGCGGGAGCAGUGACACCUUGGAAUGUUUUCCUUCUCCUUUCCAGGUGCUCUGGAAUGAGCAGCGUGGAAAUCUCCCACACACACACACACGGUGGUCACUGAGGGGUUUGAAUUGGGAGGGAUUUUAAGGAUCAUCUCUGCCAGGGUGGGGACACCUGGCCUGGAAUGCUCCUGGGACACCUCGGCAGCCGUGGCCCGUCC
This is a long non-coding RNA of Pyrgilauda ruficollis (rufous-necked snowfinch), 1155 nucleotides long. RefSeq lists it as uncharacterized. The transcript has 6 exons. The record is from RefSeq and is a predicted model, not a curated record. NCBI's taxonomy places the organism in Eukaryota, Metazoa, Chordata, Aves, Passeriformes, Passeridae.